UUUGAUUAUAAGUGUUUAUUUUAUUAUUAUUAUUAGAAUAAAAAUUGUUAAUUAUUUAUAUAUGUUAUGGCCUAUGCCUGAUGUCUGGCCAAUUUGCAGAGUGGCUGGCCACUUCUAGAUUUAGCCAAAUCACUUGGCCAAAGCCCAAAAUAUAUGAGAAUUUACAACUGUUUUGGGCUUUGGCCGGCCAAUUCAUAAUGUGCCAAGAAAAAUUGGCCAAAGCUAAAAGUUUUGAGGAGCUGAUCAUGCAGUUAAGAGAGUUGAUCAUAUCUAUUCUAACUCAUUAUCACUGUGAAAAAUCUGUUUAGUCAAAGUAGAAAAAAUUAUUUCUAAAAACAAAGAGAAAAGCUAAUCAGUAAUCAAAU
RNAcentral lists this long non-coding RNA (365 nucleotides) under Androctonus crassicauda. The record is from RNAcentral. Lineage: Eukaryota; Metazoa; Arthropoda; Arachnida; Scorpiones; Buthidae.